Molecule: ribosomal RNA, 503 nt
Filed under: uncultured bacterium
Lineage: Bacteria
Description: partial 16S ribosomal RNA
Rfam family: Bacterial small subunit ribosomal RNA
Source: RNAcentral
AUUGAACGCUGGCGGCAGGCUUAACACAUGCAAGUCGAGCGGGGUGAUGGUGCUUGCACUAUCACUUAGCGGCGGACGGGUGAGUAAUGCUUAGGAAUCUGCCUAUUAGUGGGGGACAACAUCUCGAAAGGGAUGCUAAUACCGCAUACGUCCUACGGGAGAAAGCAGGGGAUCACUUGUGACCUUGCGCUAAUAGAUGAGCCUAAGUCGGAUUAGCUAGUUGGUGGGGUAAAGGCCUACCAAGGCGACGAUCUGUAGCGGGUCUGAGAGGAUGAUCCGCCACACUGGGACUGAGACACGGCCCAGACACCUACGGGAGGCAGCAGUGCGGAAUAUUGGACAAUGGGGGGAACCCUGAUCCAGCCAUGCCGCGUGUGUGAAGAAGGCCUUAUGGUUGUAAAGCACUUUAAGCGAGGAGGAGGCUCUUUUGGUUAAUACCCAAGAUGAGUGGACGUUACUCGCAGAAUAAGCACCGGCUAACUCUGUGCCAGCCGCCGCGGUAA